This 396-nucleotide ribosomal RNA is filed under the name uncultured bacterium. Its description in RNAcentral is "partial 16S ribosomal RNA". It matches the Rfam family "Bacterial small subunit ribosomal RNA", at positions 359 to 773 of the family's 1533-position model. The record is from RNAcentral.
GAUAUUGGUCAAGGGGGGCAACCCUGAUCCAGCCAUGCCGCGUGAGUGAUGAAGACCGUAGUGUUGUAAAGCACCGCCUGUGGGGAAGAUAAUGAUGGUACCCACACAAGAAGCACCGGCUAACUGCGUGCCAGCAGCCGCGGUAAUACGAAGGGGGCUAGCGUUGUUCGGAUUUACUGGGCGUAAAGCGCACGUAGGCGGAUUGGACAGUUAGGGGUGAAAUCCCGGGGCUCAACUCCGGAACUGCCUUUAAUACUGCCAGUCUAGAGUCCGGAGGAGGUGAGUGGAACUCCUAGUGUAGAGGUGGAAUUCGUAGAUAUUAGGAAGAACACCAGUGGCGAAGGCGGCUCACUGGCUCGGUACUGACGCUGAGGUGCGAAAGCGUGGGGAGCAAAC